This 492-nucleotide ribosomal RNA is filed under the name uncultured bacterium. RNAcentral's name for it is "partial 16S ribosomal RNA". It matches the Rfam family "Bacterial small subunit ribosomal RNA", at positions 29 to 507 of the family's 1533-position model. The record is from RNAcentral.
AGUGAACGCUGGCGGUAGGCCUAACACAUGCAAGUCGAACGGCAGCACAGUAAGAGCUUGCUCUUACGGGUGGCGAGUGGCGGACGGGUGAGGAAUACAUCGGAAUCUACUUUUUCGUGGGGGAUAACGUAGGUAAACUUACGCUAAUACCGCAUACGACCUACGGGUGAAAGCAGGGGAUCUUCGGACCUUGCGCGAAUGAAUGAGCCGAUGUCGGAUUAGCUAGUUGGCGGGGGAAAGGCCCACCUAGGCGACGAUCCGUAGCUGGUCUGAGAGGAUGAUCGGCCACACUGGAACUGAGACACGGUCCAGAGUCCUACGGGAGGCAGCAGUGGGGAAUAUUGGACAAUGGGCGCAAGCCUGAUCCAGCCAUAGCGCGUGGGUGAAGAAGGCCUUCGGGUUGUAAAGCCCUUUUGUUGGGAAAGAAAAGCAGCAGGUUAAUACCCAGCUGUUCUGACGGUACCCAAAGAAUAAGCACCGGCUAACUUCGUG